RNAcentral lists this ribosomal RNA (671 nucleotides) under marine sponge bacterium LIQUIDdw06F03. RNAcentral's name for it is "bacterial SSU rRNA". It matches the Rfam family "Bacterial small subunit ribosomal RNA", at positions 106 to 782 of the family's 1533-position model. The record is from RNAcentral.
GUGCGUACAACAUGGAUAACCUACCAUAAGGUCUGGGAUAACCUCGGGAAACCGAAGCUAAUACCAGAUAAGACCACAUUAUCUGCGGAUAAAGGGGUAAAAGUUUUUCGCCUUUUGAUGGGUCCAUGCUCCAUCAGGUUGUUGGUGAGGUAAAAGCUCACCAAGCCUAAGACGGAUAGCCGGCCUUAGCGGGUGAUCGGCCACACGGGGACUGAGACACGGCCCCGACUCCUACGGGAGGCAGCAGUGGGGAAUAUUGGGCAAUGGGCGAAAGCCUGACCCAGCCAUGCCGCGUGAAGGAUGAAGGCCUUCGGGUCGUAAACUUCUGUCAGUAGGGACGAUGGGACUUCGGUCUUGACGGUACCUACAAAGGAAGCCCCGGCUAACUCCGUGCCAGCAGCCGCGGUAAUACGGAGGGGGCAAGCGUUGCUCGGAUUUACUGGGCGUAAAGGGUCCGCAGGCGGUUGAGCAAGUUAGAUGUGAAAGCUCAAGGCUUAACCUUGGAACUGCAUCUAAAACUGCUCGACUAGAGUCCAAGAGGGGUCGGCGGAAUUCCCGGUGUAGCGGUGAAAUGCGUAGAUAUCGGGGAGGGAACACCAGUGGCGAAGGCGGCCGACUGGCUUGGAACUGACGCUCAGGGACGAAAGCGUGGGUAGCGAACCGGGAUUAAA